GAGCUCAUCACUGUUAUUCACUUCACCUGUCAGUGGCUGUAAUGUUUUACCUGAUCGGUGGAAAUGUCAUUGGUCAGAAUUCCUAUGGUAUCAUGAAUGGAUGAAGUGUCCUGAGCUGCAGCAUCUGACCCCCUUAGAGCCACUGACCCUGGAACAGGAGCACGACAUGCAGGGGAGCUGGAGGGAAGACGAUGACAAUAAGCACACUGGGCAUCACCUGCUAUCAUGAUCUCCAGCUCAGCCAAGGAGAGGUCUGUUGUGUACGUCGGGAACAUGUUGACAUCUC
Monopterus albus (swamp eel) is the source of this 286-nucleotide long non-coding RNA. RefSeq lists it as uncharacterized. Lineage: Eukaryota; Metazoa; Chordata; Actinopteri; Synbranchiformes; Synbranchidae. The transcript is spliced from 3 exons. The record is from RefSeq and is a predicted model, not a curated record.